CAAAACUUGGACAAAACAUGGAUUAAAUACCCGCUGCUGAAGAAACUCUACUUUUCUCUUUGUCUUUUCUUCUUUAUUCAGGUUGAGGAGCUGCAGUUUGUCAGAGAUCAGCUGUUCUUCUCUGGUCUCAGCUCUGAAGUCCAACCCCUCCCAUCUCAGGAAACUGGACCUGAGCUACAACAACCUUCAUGGUUCAUCAGUGAAGGUUCUGUGUGGUUUUCUUCAGAGUCCACUCUGUGAACUGGAGUCUCUGUGGUUGGAGAGCUGCAGUUUGUCAGAGAUCAGCUGUUCUUCUCUGGUCUCAGCUCUGAAGCCCAACCCCUCCCAUCUGAGGAAACUGGACCUGAGCU
Molecule: long non-coding RNA, 350 nt
Organism: Cynoglossus semilaevis (tongue sole)
Lineage: Eukaryota; Metazoa; Chordata; Actinopteri; Pleuronectiformes; Cynoglossidae
Exons: 2
Source: RefSeq, a predicted model, not a curated record